This 234-nucleotide ribosomal RNA is filed under the name uncultured Acaulosporaceae. RNAcentral describes it as "partial 18S ribosomal RNA". It matches the Rfam family "Eukaryotic small subunit ribosomal RNA", at positions 569 to 807 of the family's 1831-position model. Lineage: Eukaryota; Fungi; Glomeromycota; Glomeromycetes; Diversisporales; Acaulosporaceae. The record is from RNAcentral.
AGCAGCCGCGGUAAUUCCAGCUCCAAUAGCGUAUAUUAAAGUUGUUGCAGUUAAAAAGCUCGUAGUUGAAUUUCGGAAUCUGUCCAUCGGUCGGGCUUCACUGUCCGUACUGGUGUGGUGGGUUCUUACCUUCUGAAUAACCAGCAUGCCAUUCACUCGGUGCGUUGGGGAAGCAGGACUAUUACCUUGAAAAAAUUAGAGUGCUCAAAGCAGGCUAGUGCCUGAAUACAUUAG